GCUAUUUUGGCAGAUAAGUGCGUUGGAUUUAGAAUCUAUUAAUGUAAAGCGUUGGCUUUAUGAAUAGUA
This 69-nucleotide transfer RNA is filed under the name Schedorhinotermes sp. 5 MW-2019. RNAcentral's name for it is "tRNA-Leu". The record is from RNAcentral. Lineage: Eukaryota; Metazoa; Arthropoda; Insecta; Blattodea; Rhinotermitidae.